AAGAGUUUGAUCCUGGCUCAGGAUGAACGCUAGCGGCAGGCUUAAUACAUGCAAGUCGAGGGGCAGCACGGGUAGCAAUACCUGGUGGCGACCGGCGCACGGGUGCGUAACGCGUAUGUAAUCUACCAUUAACCGGGGAAUAGCCCAGAGAAAUCUGGAUUAAUGCCCCAUAGUAUUAUCGAAAGGCAUCUUUUGAUAAUUAAAGCUCAGGCGGUUUUUGAUGAACAUGCGUGUCAUUAGUUUGUUGGUGAGGUAACGGCUCACCAAGGCUACGAUGUCUAGGGGUUCUGAGAGGAUGAUCCCCCACACUGGUACUGAGACACGGUCCAGACUCCUACGGGAGGCAGCAGUGGGGAAUCUUCCGCAAUGGGCGAAAGCCUGAACCAGCCAUGCCGCGUGCAGGAAGACUGCCCUAUGGGUUGUAAACUGCUUUUAUACAGGAAGAAACACUCGGACGUGUCCGAGCUUGACGGUACCGUAGGAAUAAGCAUCGGCUAACUCCGUGCCAGCAGCCGCGGUAAUACGGAGGAUGCAAGCGUUAUCCGGAUUCAUUGGGUUUAAAGGGUGCGUAGGCGGCUUUUUAAGUCAGUGGUGAAAUCCUGCCGCUUAACGGUAGAAUUGCCAUUGAUACUGAAAAGCUUGAGUACAUUUGAGGUAAGCGGAAUGUGUAGUGUAGCGGUGAAAUGCUUAGAUAUUACACAGAACACCAAUUGCGAAGGCAGCUUACUAAACUGAUACUGACGCUGAUGCACGAAAGCGUGGGGAGCGAACAGGAUUAGAUACCCUGGUAGUCCACGCCGUAAACGAUGCUCACUCGCUGUUUGCGAUACACAGCAAGCGGCCAAGCGAAAGCAUUAAGUAUCCCGCCUGGGGAGUACGGUCGCAAGGCUGAAACUCAAAGGAAUUGACGGGGGCCCGCACAAGCGGAGGAACAUGUGGUUUAAUUCGAUGAUACGCGAGGAACCUUACCUGGGCUUAAAUGUAGAGCGACAGAUUGUGAAAGCGAGGGGUCCCUUCGGACGAUCUACAAGGUGCUGCAUGGUUGUCGUCAGCUCGUGCCGUGAGGUGUCGGGUUAAGUCCCAUAACGAGCGCAACCCUUAUCGUUAGUUGCCAGCGGGUCAAGCCGGGGACUCUAGCGAGACUGCCACCGUAAGGUGUGAGGAAGGUGGGGAUGACGUCAAAUCAGCACGGCCCUUAUGUCCAGGGCUACACACGUGUUACAAUGGCCGAUACAAAGGGCAGCUACCAGGUGACUGGAUGCUAAUCUCCAAAGUCGGUCUCAGUUCGGAUCGAAGUCUGCAACCCGACUUCGUGAAGCUGGAUUCGCUAGUAAUCGCAUAUCAGCCAUGAUGCGGUGAAUACGUUCCCGGGCCUUGUACACACCGCCCGUCAAACAAUGGAAGCUGGGGGUACCUGAAGUCUGUAACCGCAAGGAGCGGCCUAGGGUAAAACUAGUAACUGGGGCUAAGUCGUAACAAGGUAACC
RNAcentral lists this ribosomal RNA (1486 nucleotides) under uncultured bacterium. RNAcentral describes it as "16S ribosomal RNA". It matches the Rfam family "Bacterial small subunit ribosomal RNA". The record is from RNAcentral.